AUAUUUUAGCCUUGUCGUCUCGGU
This 24-nucleotide non-coding RNA is filed under the name Arabidopsis thaliana (thale cress). The record is from RNAcentral. Lineage: Eukaryota; Viridiplantae; Streptophyta; Magnoliopsida; Brassicales; Brassicaceae.